UACGUAGGUGGCAAGCGUUGUCCGGAUUUAUUGGGUUUAAAGGGCGCGUAGGCGGUCCUGUAAGUCAGUGCUGAAAUAUCCCAGCUUAACUGGGAGGGUGGCAUUGAUACUGCGGGGCUAGAGUACAGAUGAGGUAGGCGGAAUUGACGGUGUAGCGGUGAAAUGCUUAGAUAUCGUCAAGAACACCUAUAGCGAAGGCAGCUUACUAGGCUGUAACUGACGCUGAGGCACGAAAGUGUGGGGAUCAAACAGG
Molecule: ribosomal RNA, 253 nt
Filed under: uncultured bacterium
Lineage: Bacteria
Description: partial 16S ribosomal RNA
Rfam family: Bacterial small subunit ribosomal RNA
Source: RNAcentral